CUCUGCACGAGGGAGGCGGAAGUCUGCAUAUAUAAAUUAAUGGGAGAAUUGUGGUGAUAGUGACAUCCUUUGGACUAUACACUGUGUAUAUCCGAUCGGGAGCGUGCUGCUUGUUCGAAGUUCACGCGAACGUUGGCUAUUAUCCCACCGCGGACAGUUCCUUUUCGUCGAAGGAUCACAAUAAUUUUCUACCGUACAACUUUGAGAACAUUUAAAUCGGCCGAACCCUCCGGAACACGUACGUGUAUCCGUAGCACUUACAUAUAUUUACAUCGAAUUAACCUCGGUCAACCUGGGUGGAAACAGGUUGCUUUCCCGUAAUAAUUAUUACACCACUCGAAUUAUAAUUAUUAAUUCCGUACACUGGUUCGAUCCUUCGUCUAAUUAAUUCUGUGCAUUAAUUGACCGCCACGCUGACACAGAGACGCGUUUACAGAGAUCGAUUGCGUUCAAGCCAAAAAGGAUUACGAGAAGUAUCUUUAAAUUGCUCUUAGUCGUAUCAUUCGAAUUGAAUUAAAUAUACGUCUUGGAACUUUUUCACUCGUCUUUUUCCCCUAAGAAUCUUUCUGAUUAAUGUAGAUAUCAAUUAGGCGCGUGAAUUGAGCCUCGAGAUUGUAAAUUGUUAAAUUAGCUACUGGUUUUGUGUGGCCUGGUGCG
Molecule: unclassified non-coding RNA, 657 nt
Filed under: Bombus terrestris (buff-tailed bumblebee)
Lineage: Eukaryota; Metazoa; Arthropoda; Insecta; Hymenoptera; Apidae
Description: misc RNA ENSBTSG00005025661.1
Source: RNAcentral